GGGGCCAUAGCUCAGCUGGGAGAGCGCCUGCUUUGCAAGCAGGGGGUCGGCGGUUCGAUCCCGCCUGGCUCCACCA
This 76-nucleotide transfer RNA is filed under the name Nitrosococcus wardiae. RNAcentral's name for it is "tRNA-Ala". It matches the Rfam family "tRNA". Rfam says of the family: Transfer RNA (tRNA) molecules are approximately 80 nucleotides in length. Their secondary structure includes four short double-helical elements and three loops (D, anti-codon, and T loops). Further hydrogen bonds mediate the characteristic L-shaped molecular structure. tRNAs have two regions of fundamental functional importance: the anti-codon, which is responsible for specific mRNA codon recognition, and the 3' end, to which the tRNAs corresponding amino acid is attached (by aminoacyl-tRNA synthetases). tRNAs cope with the degeneracy of the genetic code in two manners: having more than one tRNA (with a specific anti-codon) for a particular amino acid; and 'wobble' base-pairing, i.e. permitting non-standard base-pairing at the 3rd anti-codon position. Lineage: Bacteria; Pseudomonadati; Pseudomonadota; Gammaproteobacteria; Chromatiales; Chromatiaceae. RNAcentral also lists the same sequence under 1 other name. The record is from RNAcentral.